GAGUCUUCCCAGAUCUUGUCGGAAAGGCAUACGUUCAUUUCUUUAUCAAGAUGAGGGGAAUAUAUGUAGACGCCAAGACUUCUGAAGGACUUGUAAAGUAUCAUGGCAAGAUGUUUGAUGAAGUUUUCAAGAGGCUCACCUCAAUUUUUAAUAUGGAUGAACCUUUUUAACUUGUGACAACCUUUUAUGGCAAUUACAAGGCACCUUGUUUUAAGGAUUCUGGCAGUAUUUGGUUCUUGAAGUUGAUGGAUUCAAAUGUGCUAUCGGUUGCUUAAAUGGACAAGGAUGGACUGUCUAGACUGAUUUUAUGGAAUAGUUUAAUUAAACUUGGUAAUAUUUAUGCCCUAGGUCUCUCAUCUAAUAGUAUGAAAACUGUGGUAUCUUUCUACUACUGCUAGUUACUUGAACUACCAAAUAUUCAGAUAAAUACACUUGGCUUUACUAUAUCCAUUAAUGCAUUUGAAUGUUAAGUUUUGUG
Long non-coding RNA from Capsicum annuum, 478 nucleotides. RefSeq lists it as uncharacterized. The transcript is spliced from 4 exons. The record is from RefSeq and is a predicted model, not a curated record. Lineage: Eukaryota; Viridiplantae; Streptophyta; Magnoliopsida; Solanales; Solanaceae.